MWAUWMAUGCAAGUCGAGCGAACGGACGAGAAGCUUGCUUCUCUGAUGUUAGCGGCGGAUGGGUGAGUAACACGUGGAUAACCUACCUAUAAGACUGGGAUAACUUCGGGAAACCGGAGCUAAUACCGGAUAAUAUUUUGAACCGCAUGGUUCAAAAGUGAAAGACGGUCUUGCUGUCACUUAUAGAUGGAUCCGCGCUGCAUUAGCURGUUGGUAAGGUAACGGCUUACCAAGGCAACGAUGCAUAGCCGACCUGAGAGGGUGAUCGGCCACACUGGAACUGAGACACGGUCCAGACUCCUACGGGAGGCAGCAGUAGGGAAUCUUCCGCAAUGGGCGAAAGCCUGACGGAGCAACGCCGCGUGAGUGAUGAAGGUCUUCGGAUCGUAAARCUCUGUUAUUAGGGAAGAACAUAUGUGUAAGUAACUGUGCACAUCUUGACGGUACCUAAUCAGAAAGCCACGGCUAACUACGUGCCAGCAGCCGCGGUAAUACGUAGGUGGCAAGCGUUAUCCGGAAUUAUUGGGCGUAAAGCGCGCGUAGGCGGUUUUUUAAGUCUGAUGUGAAAGCCCACGGCUCAACCGUGGAGGGUCAUUGGAAACUGGAAAACUUGAGUGCAGAAGAGGAAAGUGGAAUUCCAUGUGUAGCGGUGAAAUGCGCAGAGAUAUGGAGGAACACCAGUGGCGAAGGCGACUUUCUGGUCUGUAACUGACGCUGAUGUGCGAAAGCGUGGGGAUCAAACAGGAUUAGAUACCCUGGUAGUCCACGCCGUAAACGAUGAGUGCUAAGUGUUAGGGGGUUUCCGCCCCUUAGUGCUGCAGCUAACGCAUUAAGCACUCCGCCUGGGGAGUACGACCGCAAGGUUGAAACUCAAAGGAAUUGACGGGGACCCGCACAAG
Molecule: ribosomal RNA, 899 nt
Filed under: Staphylococcus aureus
Lineage: Bacteria; Bacillati; Bacillota; Bacilli; Caryophanales; Staphylococcaceae
Description: bacterial SSU rRNA
Rfam family: Bacterial small subunit ribosomal RNA
Source: RNAcentral